Hippocampus zosterae (dwarf seahorse) is the source of this 523-nucleotide long non-coding RNA. RefSeq lists it as uncharacterized. The transcript has 3 exons. The record is from RefSeq and is a predicted model, not a curated record. NCBI's taxonomy places the organism in Eukaryota, Metazoa, Chordata, Actinopteri, Syngnathiformes, Syngnathidae.
GUGUCCAAAAGCCGUCGCUUGAUAUUUCCCUCGUGACUCCAGAGCGCUGAAAUCCGGCCCCCCUGAACACACCACGCCCACCCUAAUACUCCCGCUAAAAAAAGCCUGGCUGAUCCCGAGUGGAUUAGCUCCUCCAGGAGAGCACGUGACGACACGCCAUUCGCCACCUCCGCUCAAAGCCAAUUACGCGCCGAGCCGGCGUCACGUGACGUGGAAGCUACCCACCUGCGCUGCUGCUCUGCGGGACGCCGCUGACGGACAACUCCAUGGCCAAGGCGCGCAGCCGCUACUUUGGCGGAGGAGAAGUUUUUCAGUUCUCGAGCCUGUGGCCCAUGCAGCCUGCAGCACAGAUGGGGCGGACAGAAGGGGAGCGGCGACGGCCCACUUGCUUUCUGCUCGCUUUGUGUCCUUCCAGGAAAAGGUGAUUCAGAGACUCCCGUUGCAGAAACUGAGGUGCUUCCACUACCACUCCCACCCCCCCUCCACCGCCCCAACCUUACCGGUCCUCCCUGGAAUGUGCCCA